This 441-nucleotide ribosomal RNA is filed under the name uncultured bacterium. RNAcentral describes it as "partial 16S ribosomal RNA". It matches the Rfam family "Bacterial small subunit ribosomal RNA", at positions 338 to 795 of the family's 1533-position model. The record is from RNAcentral.
CCUACGGGAGGCAGCAGUGGGGGAUAUUGCACAAUGGGGGGAACCCUGAUGCAGCGACGCCGCGUGGGUGAAGGAGCGUUUCGGCGCGUAAAGCCCUAUCGGCAGGGAAGAAGGAGGACGGUACCUGACUAAGAAGCCCCGGCUAACUACGUGCCAGCAGCCGCGGUAAUACGUAGGGGGCAAGCGUUAUCCGGAUUUACUGGGUGUAAAGGGGGCGCAGACGGCAGCGCAAGCCAGGAGUGAAAGCCCGGGGCCCAACCCCGGGACUGCUCUUGGAACUGCGCGGCUGGAGUGCAGGAGGGGCAGGCGGAAUUCCUGGUGUAGCGGUGAAAUGCUUAGAUAUCACGAAGAACUCCGAUUGCGAAGGCAGCUUACUAAACUGCCACUGACAUUGAUGCUCGAAAGUGUGGGUAUCAAACAGGAUUAGAUACCCCUGUAGUC